CGAGCACUGCAGCACAACUCACGGGCGCAGCGUGCACAAAGUCUGCGUGGGAAUCACGUUUACAAGAAAGAGGGAGGGGGCGGUCACGAGGGGCGGCGGGCGCCAGGGCUCCGGUUCCGCGGCCGGCCGGGAAGGCCUCGCGCCAGCCGGGCGCACGCCCAAGGCGCCGGGCCCGCCUCCUGCUCCCGGGCAGCGGGAACCGCGAACCGCGCCGUGGACGGCCCGGGAGGGAGCGCUGCGCCCCCUGGCGGCGGGGCCCGUCCCUGUCCGCUGCCGGCCGCCGGCCGUCGCCGCCGCGGGCCUGCCUCGCUCCAUUUGCUGACUCCGGAGGCAGCGUCCCUCCGAGCGGCGGCUUCUCGGGCCUCCCGCUCCCUGCUCCGUAUCUUCCUCCUGUCCCCGCCCCCUACUCCUGCUCUGACACCCCUCUUCUGCACGCCGAGCCCGUUCCCAGCCGCAGCCCGGCGGAGCGCAGACACCGAGCCCGCCGAUGGCUUCGCAGAGCCUUCCGGCGGCCCCGGCCGCUCCAUCGCGGCGCCCGGCGGGGGUGCGGGGCCGGCGCGCGGCGCGAGUGGGGCGGUGGCGGCGCGGACUGUUCCACUGCGCGUUCCCCCCCGCCCCCGCGCGGCGCGCGUGCUCCCCGGAACGCCAUGGAGCCGCCGCGUUCCGAGCGGGCACAAAGGGGCGCGCGGCACAAUGGGCGCGGCGAGCCCGUGGGCGCCCGGCGCCCGCUCCGGCGACUCGGCCCUGCGCGGGGGUGGGCGCCCCUCCCGCCGAGCGCUCUCCGGGCAGCCCCCCUACGCGUCCCCUCCCUUGCUCCCGCCCCCCACCCCGGCAUGGAUGUUGCAGCCACUAGCCCGUCCGUCUGCUCUGGAGCCGCCGCCACCGCGCGGCCGGCUUGAACCGCCCCGCACUUACCUGGGACACGAGUUCUGUACUUUGCAGAGCGGGCCCGCGCCGAGUUGGGGCGCCACGUGGGGGGUAGGGGGAGCGCGGGGCUGGGGAGUGGGGGCCGCGCGCGGAGGGCCAGGCCGGGGCGGCCCGGGGAGUUGCUGGGGGCAGCGGGCGGGCGCCGUGUAUUUUCCCCUCUCUUUGUGUGUGUCCGUGCGCUGCGCUCUCGCGUGA
Molecule: long non-coding RNA, 1122 nt
Filed under: Bos grunniens (domestic yak)
Lineage: Eukaryota; Metazoa; Chordata; Mammalia; Artiodactyla; Bovidae
Description: lncRNA (ENSBGRG00000006490.1)
Source: RNAcentral